GACGAACGCUGGCGGCGUGCUUAACACAUGCAAGUCGAACGGAAAGGCCCUGCUUUUGUGGGGUGCUCGAGUGGCGAACGGGUGAGUAACACGUGAGUAACCUGCCCUUGACUUUGGGAUAACUUCAGGAAACUGGGGCUAAUACCGGAUAGGAGCUCCUGCUGCAUGGUGGGGGUUGGAAAGUUUCCGCGGUUGGGGAUGGACUCGCGGCUUAUCAGCUUGUUGGUGGGGUAGUGGCUUACCAAGGCUUUGACGGGUAGCCGGCCUGAGAGGGUGACCGGCCACAUUGGGACUGAGAUACGGCCCAGACUCCUACGGGAGGCAGCAGUGGGGAAUAUUGCACAAUGGGCGGAAGCCUGAUGCAGCAACGCCGCGUGCGGGAUGACGGCCUUCGGGUUGUAAACCGCUUUCGCCUGUGACGAAGCGUGAGUGACGGUAAUGGGUAAAGAAGCACCGGCUAACUACGUG
RNAcentral lists this ribosomal RNA (468 nucleotides) under uncultured bacterium. Its description in RNAcentral is "partial 16S ribosomal RNA". It matches the Rfam family "Bacterial small subunit ribosomal RNA", at positions 28 to 507 of the family's 1533-position model. The record is from RNAcentral.